UACGUAGGGGGCAAGCGUUGUCCGGAAUCAUUGGGCGUAAAGAGCGUGUAGGCGGUCCGGUCAGUCGGUUGUGAAAGUCAAGGGCUCAACCCUUGAAUGCCGGCCGAUACUGCAGGGCUAGAGUCCGGAAGAGGCGAGUGGAAUUCCUGGUGUAGCGGUGAAAUGCGCAGAUAUCAGGAGGAACACCGAUGGCGAAGGCAGCUCGCUGGGACGGUACUGACGCUGAGGCGCGAAAGCGUGGGGAGCAAACAGG
This 253-nucleotide ribosomal RNA is filed under the name uncultured bacterium. RNAcentral's name for it is "partial 16S ribosomal RNA". It matches the Rfam family "Bacterial small subunit ribosomal RNA", at positions 524 to 776 of the family's 1533-position model. The record is from RNAcentral.